GAUGAACGCUGGCGGCGUGCCUAGUACAUGCAAGUCGAGCGAACAGACGAGAGUGCUUGCACUCUCUGACGUUAGCGGCGGACGGGUGAGUAACACGUGGGUAACCUACCUAUAAGACUGGGAUAACUUCGGGAAACCGGAGCUAAUACCGGAUAAUAUUUAGCUUCGCAUGAAGCAAUAGUGAAAGACGGUUCUGCUGUCACUUAUAGAUGGACCCGCGGUGUAUUAGCUAGUUGGUGAGGUAACGGCUCACCAAGGCAACGAUACAUAGCCGACCUGAGAGGGUGAUCGGCCACACUGGGACUGAGACACGGACCAGACUCCUACGGGAGGCAGCAGCAGGGAAUCUUCCGCAAUGGACGAAAGUCUGACGGAGCAAUGCCGCGUGAGUGAAGAAGGUUUUCGGAUCGUAAAACUCUGUUGUAAGGGAAGAACAAGUACGUUAGUAACUGAACGUACCUUGACGGUACCUUACCAGAAAGCCACGGCUAACUACGUG
This 499-nucleotide ribosomal RNA is filed under the name uncultured bacterium. Its description in RNAcentral is "partial 16S ribosomal RNA". It matches the Rfam family "Bacterial small subunit ribosomal RNA", at positions 28 to 507 of the family's 1533-position model. The record is from RNAcentral.